GACGAACGCUGGCGGCGUGCUUAACACGUGCAAGUCGAACGGACAGGCCCUGCUUUUGUGGGUUGCUCGAGUGGCGAACGGGUGAGUAACACGUGAGUAACCUGCACUUGACUUUGGGAUAACUUCAGGAAACUCGGGAUAAUACCCGAGAGGAGAUCCUGCACCAUGGUGGGGGAUAGAGAGUUUCGGCGGUUGGGGCUGGACUCGCGGCUUAUCAGCUUGUUGGUGGGGUAGUGGCUUACCAAGGCUUUGACGGGUAGCCGGCCUGAGAGGGUGACCGGCCACAGUGGGACUGAGAUACGGUCCAGACUCCUACGGGAGGCAGCAGUGGGGAAUAUUGCACAAUGGGCGGAAGCCUGAUGCAGCAACGCCGCGUGCGGGAUGACGGCCUUCGGGUUGUAAACCGCUUUCGCCUGUGGCGAAGCGUGAGUGACGGUAAUGGGUAAAGAAGCACCGGCUAACUACGUG
RNAcentral lists this ribosomal RNA (468 nucleotides) under uncultured bacterium. RNAcentral describes it as "partial 16S ribosomal RNA". It matches the Rfam family "Bacterial small subunit ribosomal RNA", at positions 28 to 507 of the family's 1533-position model. The record is from RNAcentral.